UUCUUUUUUAAAAAUUAAAAAGUAAGGCCUGCCCACUGAAAAUUAAAGGGCUGCAGGAUUUAACUGUGCAAAGGUAGCAAAAUAAUUAGUUUCUUAAUUAGGGAAUAGAAUGAAUGGUUUAAUACUUUAAAAUUAUGAUAAAUAAAAAUGUUGAAUUUGAAUUUUAAGUGAAAAUGCUUUAAUAAUUCUAUUAGACGAUAAGACCCUAUAGAUCUUUAUUUUAACAUUAUUUUAAAAUUAGUUUAAUAUAAUUAAAUUUUAAAGUUUUACUGGGGUGGUAGGAGAAAUUAAUUAACUUCUAGAUUUUGACUUGAAAUUUAAAGAAAAAAGAUACCUUAGGGAUAACAGCGUAAUUGAUUUUAAGAGAUCUAAUCAACAAAUCAGAUUGCGACCUCGAUGUUGAAUUAGGAAAUCAUUUUUUAGAAGUAUAAAUAUAUGACGGUCUGUUCGACCUUUUAUUUCCUACA
RNAcentral lists this ribosomal RNA (467 nucleotides) under Megalothorax svalbardensis. RNAcentral describes it as "partial 16S ribosomal RNA". It matches the Rfam family "Bacterial large subunit ribosomal RNA", at positions 1820 to 2600 of the family's 2925-position model. The record is from RNAcentral. Lineage: Eukaryota; Metazoa; Arthropoda; Collembola; Neelipleona; Neelidae.